UUCAUCCAGGAAGAGCACAGAUCAACUGCAGAUGCUUUCUCUGCCUGACAAAAGUUCAUUGCAAAAUGGAACAAUGGAAAAGGACAAACAUGAAAAGCCCUGGGAGCCAUCCAUGGAGAGAAGAGAGAUUAUAACUUGCACCUGAUGCCCGUGCUUAGAACAGAAUCCAGGAAAGAACCAGAAAACUUCAGAAUAUUGCCAUGUAUAUCAACUGACUGCUGACAAAGACCUGGAAAAAGACAUCCUGUGAACCUCUGCUGAGACAACCUACAAAAUUUGGUGCUGAAAUGAAGAAUGCUUGAAGCAUACUGUCCGAGGCACAUGCAGUCCUUAGCAUAUUUCCAUUGUGUCAAACUGCUCCAACUCAUCCUACCUUCAGUCAGCUAACUGUGAAUGCAGUUAAAAUGCAUAUGGAUAAAUGCUGUCAUAUAAAUGUGGAAUGCAAUGAAAACAAGGGCACAUCCUCUUUCCUUCUAUUGACUCAUUAUGCACUUAUACAUUUUAAGUCCAGAAAGGACAAUUAGAUCAUUUAGUCUGAAUUCCUAUAUAAUACAUGCACACAGUACAGUUUCAUCCAGUUACUAACCAUAUUGAGCUUAAUACCUUGUGGUUGUCUAAACUAAGUAUCUUCCAAGUCAGCAUAACUUGAACUUUUGCCUUCAAGAGAUUGAGAAUCCAGGCUUUUGAAUUCAUUUUAUAAAAUGUUGUGUUUUUCCAGGGGAUAGUAUCAUGGGAAGCCCUUGCUCAGGUCACCUAAAUAUGAGUUAUGGAGACAGAGCAAUUUUCAAGAUGAUGAAACAUGCUGAUGUUAGGACUCUUAGAGUAGCCUACCUUUUAAACGGAAAGCAAUGCUCAGAUUUAACCUAUAGCAGAGCUGACACCUUGCUAUAACAUAAGGACUAAUUUCACUAAAUGCCUCAUUUAUUUUAGUGGAAUCUCAUUCCUUCAGAUCAUUGUCAGGAGUCCAUUAGUGAAGUAGAUAGAGCAGAAACCCAUGGUUAAAUGAACAUGGAGAUUAACCUCCUGUUUUAUUACUUUAGAUGCAAGUAGGCUCCUAGUACACAGUUGAAACAUUCUCCUAAAGUUGUUGCGGGAGAGGGGAGGAGACCCACGUUCUGUCUGCCUUUCACAUGGUUCAUCUAGUCCUUAUAGUCUUUCACUCACCUACCCACAGUCUAUUCACCACUCAACCUCUUCUGCAAAGAGGAAAUCAAUACACAGUUUAACUAGUGAUUCUGUUCAGUGGAGGAAGGGAUUCCAUGGGCUUGUAUAUUCAGUGAUGGCCUUCAUAGGUACUUUCAGUAAGUGGCCACAUGAGGCACUAAACCUGAAGGGUCACUUAGUGCCUCCAGUAGAAACAAGCUGCUUUGGAAUAUGACACUGGAUUUGAAGUUAAGAAGCCAGAGUUCAGUUUCUAGAUAUGCCACCAACCUUCUCGAGGACUUUGGGAUAAUAACUGAAUCCCUCUGUGGCUCAAAUGGGCAAAAUGCUAAAUUAGUCUUUUAAGCCCUUCUUCAAUAAGGCAAUGCUGCUUAUAGCAUCUGUUCUUCCAGAAAGACUAGAUUGAAUGAUCCAUAUACUAUUUGCCUCAAUAUUCACCAAAAAAAAGCUGCAGUCAGACACCUGAUAUUGAUUAUUUGAACAAGGAAGGGGACAAGCUGAGGGAUGAGAUAACAAAAAAGACAGCUAGAGAACUUUUGAUGGGUCCGAAUGAAUUCAUGUCAUCAGGGCCUGAUGCAAUUCAUCCCAGAGCACUGAAAGAACUGGCAGAGGAGAUCUCAGAGCCUUUGCAAUAAUAUUUAUAAAGUCAUGUGAGAUGGCCAAGGUGCCAGAAGACUGGGUAUAUAUAAUGCCUCUCUUCAAAAAUGUCAACAUAGUGCCCCUCUUCAAAAAAGGAAAACCAAAGGAACUAUAAACUGGUUAGCUUCACCUCAAGACCCCAAAAGUUACUGAAACACAUUAUAAGGAAAUCUGUUUACAAGCAUCUGGAUGAGGAAAUGGUGAUCACAACCAUCUGGCAUGGAUUUACUGGUAGUAAGAAGAAAGUGUACCAAAUCUUUGAAAAAUCAUGGCAAUUUGGAGAGGUCCCAGACAAUUGGAAAAAG
Molecule: long non-coding RNA, 2105 nt
Organism: Alligator sinensis (Chinese alligator)
Lineage: Eukaryota; Metazoa; Chordata; Crocodylia; Alligatoridae
Exons: 3
Source: RefSeq, a predicted model, not a curated record